UUUGCUAUCAUGGCUAAAUACAGAAUAUCCUGGUUUAAGUUAAUCCUAGGGGGGAGGUGGUAUUAUUAAUCCUAAGAAAUCUGGAUUAAUAAUACUGGGUCGUGGGAUUAAAUCGGGUCAUCCGCAUUAUUACUAAAUAAUACCAAACACUAGACUGAUCUGUAUUAAAUUAGCUAAUACAGUGUAUUAGCCAAUAUCAAACACGCCC
RNAcentral lists this long non-coding RNA (208 nucleotides) under Salvia miltiorrhiza (redroot sage). RNAcentral describes it as "long non-coding RNA (SMIL_LNC003074)". The record is from RNAcentral. Lineage: Eukaryota; Viridiplantae; Streptophyta; Magnoliopsida; Lamiales; Lamiaceae.